AGCGCAGGCGGAAUAUUAAGUCAGUGGUGAAAUCCUACAGCUCAACUGUAGAACUGCCAUUGAUACUGAUAUUCUUGAGUAUAGUUGUAGUGGGCGGAAUAUGUCAUGUAGCGGUGAAAUGCUUAGAUAUGACAUAGAACACCGAUCGCGAAGGCAGCUCACUAAACUAUAACUGACGCUCAGGCACGAAAGCGUGGGGAGCGAACAGGAUUAGAUACCCUGGUAGUCC
RNAcentral lists this ribosomal RNA (229 nucleotides) under uncultured bacterium. RNAcentral describes it as "partial 16S ribosomal RNA". It matches the Rfam family "Bacterial small subunit ribosomal RNA", at positions 568 to 796 of the family's 1533-position model. The record is from RNAcentral.